This 399-nucleotide ribosomal RNA is filed under the name uncultured bacterium. RNAcentral describes it as "bacterial SSU rRNA". It matches the Rfam family "Bacterial small subunit ribosomal RNA", at positions 29 to 447 of the family's 1533-position model. The record is from RNAcentral.
AAUGAACGUUGGCGGCGUGGAUUAGGCAUGCAAGUCGAGCGGAAAGGCCCGCAAGGGCACUCGAGCGGCGUAAGGGACAGUAAUGUGUAGGUAACGUACCCCUGGGUCUAGGAUAGCUGCGGGAAACUGCAAUUAAUACUAGAUAACGUCUCCGGACCAAAGGUGUGAUUCCACCUGGGGAGCGGCCUACAUCCUAUUAGCUAGUUGGCGAGGUAAUGGCUCACCAAGGCGAAGAUGGGUAGCAGGUGUGAGAGCACGACCUGCGUCACUGGGACUGAGACACUGCCCAGACACCUACGGGUGCUGCAGUCGAGAAUCUUCGGCAAUGGGCGAAAGCCUGACCGAGCGACGCCGCGUGUGGGGAUGAAGGCCUUGGUGUAACCACUGUCGGAGGGGAGU